GCAUGGCAAUGGAUUUAUGGUCGGGUUAUUCUGUACCCUCCCAUAGUGUACUCCAUGCUAAAGUGAGUAGCUGCUCCGAACCAUUGACAAGCCUGAAUGCUCGUGGGCCUGUUCUCUGAUGUGGGCUGCACAUUC
This 135-nucleotide small nucleolar RNA is filed under the name Leptobrachium leishanense (Leishan spiny toad). Its description in RNAcentral is "Small nucleolar RNA SNORA42/SNORA80 family (ENSLLEG00000027774.1)". It matches the Rfam family "Small nucleolar RNA SNORA42/SNORA80 family". Rfam says of the family: The members of this family belong to the H/ACA class of snoRNAs that guide the sites of modification of uridines to pseudouridines. Lineage: Eukaryota; Metazoa; Chordata; Amphibia; Anura; Megophryidae. The record is from Rfam by way of RNAcentral.